Molecule: long non-coding RNA, 988 nt
Filed under: Serinus canaria (Common canary)
Lineage: Eukaryota; Metazoa; Chordata; Aves; Passeriformes; Fringillidae
Description: lncRNA (ENSSCAG00000005242.1)
Source: RNAcentral
GGAGGAGCAAAGUUCAAGGGCUCAGCAAUGCAGAAUGGAGACGUUACUCGAGCAGCUCUGCCAAAGAUUUCAAAGUCUGGAACAAGCAAUAGAGAUGAGACAGGAGGUCCCAUAUCAUGACUUGCUGCUUUCCAGAAGAUACCUGGAGAACAACCAAGGGAUAGCCAUGCUGCGAGAAGAGAUGAUUCAUCUACGAGUCCUGGAAUUGGCAAGAGGGGAGAGGAUUAAUAAUAUAUGGACUGACUCCAGAUCUGCAUUUGAGAUAGGGCCUGCUCAGGGUGCUGUCCGGAACAGAAGAUUGUGUGAAGGUCAAGGCUUUUUCAGGUCAGUGUCUGGAGGAGAAGUGGAAUGGAUCACACCAGGUGCUUCUGACAACCUUCAUGCCAAUCAAGAUGAAAGAACAGCCUGCCUGGAUUCACUAUUCAGGAGGCAUCCAAAGGAGCAUGGACCUCAGAGCCAGUAGGACUAACGAUCUGCAAGUUCUGAUGCUGACCCUUGGUGUUCUGAUCAGUAUCAUAAUUCUGGCUCUAAUCUUUACCUUACCCUGGCCAUAGUCCCCACACUCACAUAAGCUGUCGCCGUGAUAUUUUCUGAAAAAUCCCUUCGCCAGGAUUUCUUCUCAUGGGAGAUUGGGAGGCCUUGGAGAGGAAUGAAAAUAAUAAUUAUCUAAUUGCUUUUCCCUGUUUUGCUGCUUUGGAAUUUCAUCUGGAGAUUGUUUGUCCAGCAGGUGGUUGGUUGAUUGGUCUCAUGUGAAUUGUUUUACCUAAUGACCAAUUCCUGUCCUGCUGUGUCAGACUCUGAGGAAUCAAUCACAAGUUUUCAUUAUCAUUCUUGUUAAGCCUUCUGUCUCUAUUGUUCUCUAUAGUUUAGUAUAGUUUGAGUAUAGCAUUCUUUAAUAUCAUAUAAUAUAUCAUAUAUCUUAUAUCAUAUAUAUCAUAUAUCAUAUAUAUCAUAUAUCAUAAUAUAAUAAAUCAGCCUUCUAAGAACA